Molecule: transfer RNA, 64 nt
Filed under: Stimulopalpus japonicus
Lineage: Eukaryota; Metazoa; Arthropoda; Insecta; Psocodea; Amphientomidae
Description: tRNA-Gly
Source: RNAcentral
AUUUAUUUAGUAUAAAUAUUGUACAUUUAACUUCCAAUUAAAAAGUCUUAAUAAAGAAUAAAUA